GAUGAACGCUGGCGGCGUGCCUAAUACAUGCCAGUCGAGCGAACGGACGAGAAGCUUGCUUCUCUGAUGUUAGCGGCGGACGGGUGAGUAACACGUGGAUAACCUACCUAUAAGACUGGGAUAACUUCGGGAAACCGGAGCUAAUACCGGAUGAUAUUUUGAACCGCAUGGUUCAACAGUGAAAGACGGUCUUGCUGUCACUUAUAGAUGGAUCCGCGCUGCAUUAGCUAGUUGGUAAGGUAACGGCUUACCAAGGCAACGAUGCAUAGCCGACCUGAGAGGGUGAUCGGCCACACUGGAACUGAGACACGGUCCAGACUCCUACGGGAGGCAGCAGUAGGGAAUCUUCCGCAAUGGGCGAAAGCCUGACGGAGCAACGCCGCGUGAGUGAUGAAGGUCUUCGGAUCGUAAAACUCUGUUAUUAGGGAAGAACAUAUGUGUAAGUAACUGUGCACAUCUUGACGUUACCUAAUCAGAAAGCCACGGCUAACUACGUG
RNAcentral lists this ribosomal RNA (497 nucleotides) under uncultured bacterium. RNAcentral describes it as "partial 16S ribosomal RNA". It matches the Rfam family "Bacterial small subunit ribosomal RNA", at positions 28 to 507 of the family's 1533-position model. The record is from RNAcentral.